Molecule: ribosomal RNA, 254 nt
Filed under: uncultured bacterium
Lineage: Bacteria
Description: partial 16S ribosomal RNA
Rfam family: Bacterial small subunit ribosomal RNA
Source: RNAcentral
UACGUAGGGGGCAAGCGUUGUCCGGAUUUAUUGGGCGUAAAGAGCUCGUAGGUGGUUUGGUAAGUCGGAUGUGAAAUCUCCAGGCUCAACCUGGAGGGGUCAUUCGAUACUGCCAUGACUAGAGGUCGGUAGGGGAGAGUGGAAUUCCUGGUGUAGCGGUGAAAUGCGCAGAUAUCAGGAAGAACACCCGUGGCUAAGGCGGCUCUCUAGUACGGUACUGACGCUGAGACGCGAAAGCGUGGGGAGCGAACAGG